Molecule: long non-coding RNA, 810 nt
Organism: Meriones unguiculatus (Mongolian gerbil)
Lineage: Eukaryota; Metazoa; Chordata; Mammalia; Rodentia; Muridae
Exons: 3
Source: RefSeq, a predicted model, not a curated record
AGUCAGACGUGGCGCGUGGCACCGCUCUUGGGUUCCCCUCCCUGCACAAGCCUGUCCGUCUUCUGGCCUUUCUCCAAAGGUGAUCUAAUUGGACUUUGCGGGGGCCAUUGAGUCACCCAACCAAUCUUGUGUUUCUACGGAUACGACCUACAUGGUUCACAGAUAAGGCCGUUUAAGCUCACUGUGGACAGGAGACAAUAAAUUCGGGGUGAAUUGAAAAUUAAUUUCUGAAGACCCCUAUUGCAUAUUGAGAAGACAUGGAGUGAGAUUUCCAGGCAGAACUGGAGUACUAUGUAAGACUGCUCCUGCCUCUGGAAGUGCCAGCCGCCUGACUGGAUUCUCUCCACAUUUCCUCCAGGCGCCAAAUUAUGUUCACUCUAUGCCAUGCUCCACAUGGAAAACCUGCAUCUGAUUCGCCUGCUAACUUUCCUCGCCGAUGCCUGGAAACCAGUUAGCAGAACAGACUGGGGCCUCUGAGCGGAGCUCUGGCCUCUUUGUGGGGUGACAGAGCCCUAAGAACCACUCUCCCAGCUCACGCCUGAGCAGAAGUGCUCAGUCCUAGAGGAGCACGCUGAGACACAGAGCAAGCGUUUUCCGUCUGUUUCCUUCAGGCUUUGUGUCUUUCACCUGCGUGACACAGCAUCUCUGACAUGACUGCCGCAAUCCAACCUCCGCCCUUUUCUGUGCCUCAGUCGCUUUCUUUACUCACUCGUGAAUCUGGUUUGUCACAAAAGCUGAUUCUGAGAAGGAUAACAAACCUAUAAAUAGCCUCACUAAUAACAUCAAUAAACACGUAGAGCAGAAAAGGAA